Cyprinus carpio carpio is the source of this 271-nucleotide long non-coding RNA. NCBI's taxonomy places the organism in Eukaryota, Metazoa, Chordata, Actinopteri, Cypriniformes, Cyprinidae. The record is from Ensembl.
GUAAAUGAAUACCCAUAAACACACUGUGUACACUGAGAUUUUAUGAUGAAGAGUGUGGGACCAGAUGGCCAAGCUGGUUAUGACCACGUCAUUAGGCUAGCCGACAGUCUGGUUGACCUGCCCCAUCAGGGGUUUGUCACUCAGAGUAAGGUGGAUGAGAUUGUCGUGCUGUGGAACAACCUGUCAGAUCAUGACAAGGGCCCUCUCAUCUAUGUAUCUUGGCUAUAAUCAUAACCAGUCUCGUUACCAAUGUUAUCCACUUGUUUGACCG